This 406-nucleotide ribosomal RNA is filed under the name uncultured bacterium. RNAcentral's name for it is "partial 16S ribosomal RNA". It matches the Rfam family "Bacterial small subunit ribosomal RNA", at positions 30 to 526 of the family's 1533-position model. The record is from RNAcentral.
AUUGAACGCUGGCGGCAGGCCUAACACAUGCAAGUCGAACGAGUGGCGGACGGGUGAGUAAUGUCUGGGAAACUGCCUGAUGGAGGGGGAUAACUACUGGAAACGGUAGCUAAUACCGCAUACCAUCAGAUGUGCCCACAUGGGAUUAGCUUGUCGGUGGGGUAACGGCUCACCAAGGCGACGAUCCCUAGCUGGUCUGAGAGGAUGACCAGCCAGACUGGGACUGGGACACGGUCCAGACUCAUACGAGAUGCAGCAGUGGGGAAUAUUGCACAAUAGGCGCAAGCCUGAUGCAGCCAUGCCGCGUGUAUGAAGAAGGCCUUGGGGUUGUAAAGUACUUUCAGCGGGGAGGGGUUACCCGCAGAAGAAGCGCCGGCUAACUCCGUGCCAGCUGCCGCGGUAAUAC